Long non-coding RNA from Polyodon spathula (Mississippi paddlefish), 3339 nucleotides. RefSeq lists it as uncharacterized. NCBI's taxonomy places the organism in Eukaryota, Metazoa, Chordata, Actinopteri, Acipenseriformes, Polyodontidae. The record is from RefSeq and is a predicted model, not a curated record. The transcript has 3 exons.
GCUUCUUUUUAUUGUCAGCACAGCUACAGUUCAGUGCAGACUACCCAGUGACAGUUGCAUUGCUUUCAUUUAAUUAUCUUAGCAAUGUGCUUUAGGAAUACCUAAUUAAUGAGUAAGUACACUGGUACUAAAAGCAUGACUGGUCAAAUAAGUAUUCAUUAAGUCUCAGUCUCUGCUUCCAUGUCUUUUCUUUCUUCUUACUAUAUUUUCCACCUUUUGAAGUUCCUCUCUCUCAAAACGCUGCAAAGUGUGUUGCAAGAACCCACAUUCAGAUUCACAGUAGCCCCAAGAAGACGUUUCUGUUGCCUUCAACAUUUUAGGCCCCAGUCAGCUGCCUGUGGGAAGUUUCAUAAACCACCAGGAGGACAGCUCCACCAGUGAGGACCCUGAGGAGAAACCUACUUCAAAACUAAAGAUGAGUAACAGCUUCAGAAGAAAGAGGAGGCAGGUCGUCCAACAUCAGGCACAGCAAGAAGAGCUAAAAAGACUCCACAGGGCCCAGAAAAAAGUGCCAGAAGGGGGCAGUCCAGCUCUAACCUGGAUUUCUAGCUCUAAUUUGGACACAGAUUGAAAUGUUGAGAAAGAUGGAGGAAUGGUAGUGAAUGGCAGCUGCAUUGUGUAACAUUCUUUUAGCAGAACAGCAUAACCUGCUUUGGUAGAAAAUUAUCUGAUUUUGUCUAUUGUAACAGGUCAUCCUUAAAAAAAAAAAAAUAAAUCUCUAAUAAUCAUAAUAAAAAAAAAAAUUACAAGCUCACCAAAAAAACCCAAAACACAAACACUGAUUUACCCUAUGGCUUAUGCCAGUAAUUAUACAGCGAUAAUUUGUAAUUAUCGCUGAUUUGAUAUGGGUGUCUAGUUUAAUGAUCUACUGUAAAUAGCAGCAGAUCUAAAUAUAUCGCCACCCUAAAUCAAACCUUAUUUUUCACAGACCUCAUUUCACUAUUAAAGUGCUGGUAUUAAAUAUAAAAUGGUUGGAUUAUUAUAAUAGACUCAUGAUUUAUAGCUGUUCAAUAUGAUACAUAUAUACUACAUCGCUUUUUAUUUUGCUGGCAGAUUUCAGAUUGUAGCCCAAAUGAUAAAACACACUGAGCUCAUGAUACUGUAAGUAUAAGACAGAGGACAUAAGUUGAAGAAUUGAUUGUGUUUCUCCAAACCCUUUCACACACUCUCAUUCAUAGUCACUCUCAGUAAAUCAACAGUGAGUGCUUAACUAACCUCUGAAUCCCACAAUGCCCAAGAUCUGGAGCUUGAGGGCUGUCAAAGCUGGCUGCAGCAGAGGCUACACAAGAGAAUGGCCUCUGAUGAUAGUGCUUUGACAAUUAGGAAAAGCAAAUAUGCUGACUAUUACAAGAUUGUUUUGGCGGUUUUAAAAAAAAAAAAAUGACAUGGACGAUAUUGUUAAAUUUGAUGAGCUCUGGGGAAAUAAGCGAGGUACAAUCAGCUUUAGCAAUGUCUGAAUUUAAGCCAGAAGAAAGUAUAAAAUGCUGUUGUUACCUAACAAGUCUGUGUUGAAAAUAUUAUUUUUUUGUAAAAUGUUAUACAAAAUACUCUGUGACAGUGUUUCCAUUUUCUCUUGUGUUGCUUUACUUAGCCUAAAUCUUUACUGUACAUGUACUGUAGCAUACGUACUUUGCUUCUGCAAGGAUGGACGUGUAGGCGGUUGGUUUACCUUCAUUUUUGUAAACAAACUGGUCAACCAACAAUGUCUGGUUACUGGUAAAGCUUAUGAAUGUAAUAAACAAAGCAGCUAAACCAUCUUUUUUAUGUUUUAGGUAAUGUGAAUUAGUUUUAUGUGACAAACAGCCUUGAUCCAGGAAUAUGCUUGCUCAAUAAUCAGUACUUUCACUUAUCAUCAAUAUUACCCUGCAGAACCUUCAUCAGUUUUGUAGAUAAAGCUCUUAGGAUUAUGUUCAACCUUGGUUUAUUUUGGGGGGCUGGAGCCUGGACAGAUUAUAAUAAUAACAGUGCUGAUGCUUUUCUUGUUUACAGAUUGCUCAUUGUAGACAUCUCACUCCUUCAGCUCAGCCUUUCCCUCUACUCAUUCCUCCACUCAGCAAUCUGGUUUCUAACUAAAUUAAUCUAUUUGCAAUCUUUUGUCUUCAGCUCAAGAUUAUAAGGCUGAUGCCCUCGCUCCUUCUCCCCUUCCCCCUUCAACCAGGAUUUCAUUCUUUUCCCGUUCAUGCAAAAGACAAGCUGCAUGCUCUCUGGGAACUAUCAAAACUUAUCUAGCAGGAAUUCAAUACCAUUAUCGCCUAGCGUGCAUUCCCUGUCCUCUCUCUUCUAACCCUGCUGUUUGCAUUCUAUUUAGAGGAAUGGCAAAAAGUUUUUCUCAUCCCUCUCCCUCCAGUCGCCCUGUCACUUCAGAUAUUCUCUAUCGCCUCUCAAUUCUGCGGCAAGGUCUUUCUGCACUCUUUAGUUUUCUUCGCUGUGCUGAGUAUGCUGCUCUGCUAGUAUAGCUAGCAUGCCCGGAGUGGGGGGCCAUCUCUCUACAUAUAUAUGUAUAUAUAAUCAUUACCUUUCAUUUCUAACAAUUUUCUCUCUUCUUUGCAAGGGUGUCGCUGUUGCGGGGAGCCAGGGGUCCUCUUUUGGGGGAAUGUGAAGCUCACUUCCCGACCUUAGAGACUGACUACAUCACCUUGCCCUCCGAGAGGAAGGUUCCCGAUGACCAGAGGGGACUCACGGCCAAAUAACUUUAACUAUAUUUCGUUUUCCAUUCUCCUGCUAAAUCUAGUAAUUUGCACCUGUACCAGUCUCCCACUUCGGAGAGCAAAGCCUGCUCCCAACUUUCAAGCUAGUCAUUUGACUCAACCUAUUGAAGGUGGCACUUACAGAUGGGGGAGAGGGAGACCCCAGGCCCUCUUUAUGUGUUUAUUUCUUAUUCUCUUUAUCCCAGUGCUUUUGUUCCCCUGCAUAGGUCAGGAGACUCUCCACUCGGCCUCGUACAUCGUUGAGCCUGACCUGUCUCGACUAGCCAGGAAGACCAUCAGUAUUUCUGUCCUAUAUCUGCAUUUGUAGAUUACUUUUAAAAAUAAAUAAAUAAAAAAACAACAAUAAAGUACGGGGUGCAUUUUUAACAUUUUAAACUGCUUCUUGUGAGCGGUUUGAGGGCUGAUGUGAGGGAUAUGUCAUUUUGUAAAUGAUCUAAUUUAAUGUGCUUUUUAUUUAUUUUGUACAGAAAUCGAACUCUAUAAGGGAAAUAGUGUAUGAUGCAGCCAAUUGCUUUCAGUUCAUCUUUGGGAAAUGUAUGCGAUUUAUUAAUUAAGUAUCAGGUUAAACUGAUGUAAGUACUGACCAUCACCACUGCAGUAACCUUUUUUAGUGUUAAAAUGAAGAACACAU